Paramuricea clavata is the source of this 4926-nucleotide non-coding RNA. The record is from the annotation of a GenBank genome assembly. Lineage: Eukaryota; Metazoa; Cnidaria; Anthozoa; Malacalcyonacea; Plexauridae.
GUUCGAAAUUUUGGAAUUUGGGAAUUACGCAUUGUUAAAAAAUAUUGUUUUGCCGUAAUUCAUCCUUUGUUGUGUUUUUAAAUUAUUCCCUUAAAACUAUGGAACGAAAUAUAGAUGAAAAUAUGGAUGACUGUACGGCUAUUAUAAAAGUAAUGCAUUGCAGGAAUAUUCGAAUAUGCCUUUGCAUGCUCUGAACAGGUAAUAUAACAAAGUCAGAUGGUUAAGGUAACAUUUGUGGUUUAUAAUCUUAUAAAUGAUACAUAAGUGAAUGUUUCUAACGUGAAGAUAUCAAUGUUGGCAAGAUCACUUACAAACAUAAUUUUAUAUAAGAAUAUUGAGGCUAUAUAUCCUUGCACUAUUCACCGACACUACUGUAGUAUAGUCACAGAGUAAGUAUACAUACCGAUCGAGGUCUCACUUCAGGUUAAUUUAGCGUAAGGGAUUUUUUCAGUCCAUAUUCUUUGCAAUGUCGGAAAGAGAGAGGCUGUCACUCCCCUGGAAACAUAUUGAAAUAUAACAUUUCAGGAGCUCUCUUUAGGGCACUUGCGAUCUUGGCCGCCAGACUAUGCGCUGUAAUAACUACCUUACGGACGGUUUAGCCCCAUAAGUGAGACCUCUAGCUGUAUGUACUUACUCUGUGGUAUAUUGCAUAAACGUCACCCAUUGGAUAUUCCUGUGGGCCUUUGCGCCAUUUCUUUCUUCGAGCAAUCGAGGCUACUCUACUCGCUAUCUAUAUUCCUCGAUAGAUGAUAGAUAUAGAUAGCGAGUAGCAAAAAGGCUUCCAGCUCGUUUGUAUUGAAAAUAUUGUAAGUUUCGACAAACUAUAACGCCGUUCAGGGUCUUAGCUAGAGGGCCGUGUUGGCCGUGUCAUCGCGGCCAAAAGUGGGAAAACACGGCUAUAUAAGAUGAACGCGGCUUCACUUUUCAUAUAAGGCCGUGUAGGUUCAUUAAAUAAGGUGGUGCUACUUACAACAGACAGAAUUUCUUCCUAUUUACGUCGUAAGAAAGUUUGUAAAAUCUACUGUUGUUGUUGAAUUGGCAAAAUGAAUCUGUGAUGUUUUAAUGUUUUGAUGGAUAAUGGGAACUGUAUGGUGUUAAAAUGGUUUUUAAAUACCCCCAAGAGUUGCUGAAAUAACUUAAUAUUUUAAUGUCAGUGCGCAAUAUGAGCGUAUGCUCGCCUUGUGUUUGGUUGCAAAGCGUAGAGCAACCACAGGCAUUGUUGUUGGCGAGCAUAACAAAAACCGUCAUUUUGCUAUUCAAGGUAAUUCACAUGUGCACACCCUGGUCAUUAGAAACACGCCCAAGAUCUAAAAUCCUAGCUAAGACCAUGACGCCGUUUUCUGACCAUCAAAACCCUGUCAAAUCUCCCCCCAAAGUCCAGGAAAUGUUAUUUUUGAGACUCUAUGAAUUUAAAAAACUUCACUUAUAGUUUAUAGCGUCUGCGACGUUUGACUCGGGCCUUGGGCCCUCGUUUUCAGCCCCCCCCAAUCAAAAAGCGCUUCCUACGGCACUGCGAAUGUAUAAAAGGUUGUAAUGUUAAUAAAUAAAUAAAUAAAUAAAUAGAUGACGCGAGCAGAGCGAGCCUGCGUUCAGUGUUGCCGUAAUUGUGAAUACUUCAUGUUGAAACAAUGUUUAAGAAAAUAAUGGCGAGAGGUUGUUGCAUGCAUAUAUUUCUAGUAUAUGUCAUUAUACUUGAUUUGAUUUGAACGGUUCACUUAUUAUUAACAUAAAAGUUAUUAUACUACAUUGCAAACUAAUAAUUCAUGAUCAGAACUUUUUCUUUACUUGCUUUCCUCACAACACGAGGCGGAUCCCCACUUGCAUGCGUUGUAAUUUUCUCUUGAUUGAACAUCAUUCUUUACUUUCUCAAAAAUUUACAUUAAUAUAAAAAAUUAUUACUUGAACUACGUUCGCUAUACUAUCUCAACUUUGUCUUUUUUAUCCCCGUACUUUCAAUGUUAUGGAAACAUGUGUUCGUUUGUUUCCUAAUUUAUGCUAAUCAAUCAAUGUCAAUAUUUUACUACACUGCACGCAUAUAGUGGCGGACACUUUGCGAAAUCGUGAGGGGGGAGGCGGGGGGAAUUAGGUUGUCAACAUAUUACCACCUGUUGUUGGAAAUUGUUGCCUUAAAUUUCAUGCAAUAAGUAGCUUAAUUUAUGGCAUACGAAUGCUUUCAUGGUUGAAAAAUUAUCGUAACAUUUUGUCAUGCAAUUACUCUGCUAUUAUUCAAAGGCAUGCAGAUAUUAUUGGGGGUGGGUGCGGGGCGGUUUUUCUACCCCUGCCUCAUCCCUAGUGUCCGCCACUGCAUAAACUGUUUUUAUUCUACUUGUUGUCAUUAUAGUUUAUAUUCUUUGCACUUUGGUCAGUUGACUGUUGUCUCUGAUUAUCGUUGUAAGUGCAGACAUUUAUAUUUAUACUGUGCAUUACAAUGAGGUUCAUAUGUCCAGCUAAAAGGUCUAUGAGUUAAGCCUCGUUGGUUCCCAUGUUACGACGCACGUUUUUCUCACAUACUGGGAAACAAUGUCCUCUAUUGAAUACAGAUCUUCCUUCUUUUUGAACGAAGACCAACCAGCAGGUUUAUACUUGCUUAUCAGUUUUGGCAGUGUGGUAAUCCAGAACAUGAAGAUAGCUUCUGUAAUUGAUGGAAUGUUGGUCCACUUCCCGACUGCAACCACCGAUACAAAUACAAAUGUGAGAAAAACGAUCCACUUUCCAAGUUGAAAUAUUGACGAUGAAAUGGUUUUCUUCAAUGGAAUAUGCUUGUUGCACACAAUUUCGUAGAGUUCUUUUGGUAUCAUUUUCUUGUUUUUAAUAAAGAGUAUUGGAGCAUCACCAAGGCCUUUUUGUUGUUUUUCGCAUUCAUUAAAGAGCAACACUUUCAAAUUUAUGUACUUGUCAUUCAAAUUCCAAAUCGAACAUAUAACGUAAUAGCAAAGUCCAAGAGCGUAGACCAAGAACGAUUUGUAACAAGGGAGUCCCACAAUCAAACCCAUGCAUGUAAAACUAACUAUUUUCAACACGAAAUGCCAUGAAAAUGUCAUCAUUUGAAUGAAAAACAGUGCAGAUAGAAUGUUGAUACAGAAACAAACAGGGAAACAAAGCCAAGUGUAGAUGCUGUUCCCGAAUUUUUGGGUCAAGAGAACGAGGGGAAUAAAGCAAAUACAAGCAAGAAUUAAAAUAGCCAAUAGGUAUCAUAGAACAAAUGAUCACACAUGGAGCAAUAAGAUAUAUUAUGAACCAUGAACCCAUAACUAUCGUAAAAGUAAUAGCAAAUAACGCAACGAACGAUGAAGGGGAAAUAAGGAGGAGAAGGUACAAUAGUGAAUAACCUAUUAUCAUAUCCCACCAUGAAGGUGCAUCAUCGUGAUUGGCCCCAGCCGGUUCAGUUUGCCAUAUUCCUGCUAUAGGAAGCAUUUCACCUGUCCUGAAAAAGUGAGGCAACCAUCUGUUAUAAAGAAAUGGCCUGGCAGAGUACAAUAAUUUCCAGAAAUUAAAAGUAAAGAGAUGCUUAAGGUGUCGCCACAUGUUCUUACAAAGUAACUGAACACCAGUGACUUCCUCACUUGGUGUGUGUUUCAUUGCUGUACAGAUAAAACAACAACUGCUUUUAUUUUGUAGGUCACCUAUUAAUAUCAAUGAUUCGUCAACAACAUCAGUUAUGUUACCAGGAAGAGAAAACAUCAAACACGAAACAACAUAAGCUACCAUUUGGCAUACAAGGAAAAUGUCUGGGUUUAGGCAUAUUUGCACAAAGUCUGUCUUGAUUUGAGCUUGUUUUUGAAGAACUACUUCGUGUUUGAGUAGUAAUGAAUAUGAAAGCAAGGAAAAAAUAAGAAUAGCUGGAAGAAGAAUAGAGAAAAACAUAAAGCGAAAGACUCGUUGAUUUAGUUUUGCCAAAAGCAAGUGGGCUUCCGAUAACAAUAGAGCAGUCAGUGGCGUUGAAGUGUCAAAGUUCAUAUAAUCGUCCUCAUUUAUUUCUGCCCGAUUUAGUACAUUUGCCUCGGUAGGCUCCUCAGGUUUAGGGACAUCAUUUAUAUGAUUUUCAUGAACAUCAAAUUUAUUUCUUAAUACACUGCCCGAGUCAUAUGGUCUUGUUUUAGUACUGUCAUUUGGUAAGUAUGUUAUCAGCAAUGGUGUGAUUAGUACGAGCACACGUGAUACAAACCAGAUUGCCAUUAGAAUAAGUGACAAUGUUGUAUUUGGCACAAUCACACUAAAACCACUAUCUGGGUUAUAUACUGGGAAACAUCUGUACCGUAUUAAAGUACUGUAUGUAUGACAAACAAAGCUAUCGGAUGAUACAGCUUUGGCAGUUCCCGACAGCAUAUUCAGCACAUAUGUUAGCUGAUGGUCGCCAUAUAAUCGGCCAAAACAGCCCGCAGGUUUAGAAAUCACACGUAACUCAACGCUGUCUGUUUCUCUUGCUAAUGUUGUCAAUGACAAUAUGUAAUAGUCGUAAGGCAAAGAAAGGAUCUUUUUACCUUGGUCACUUUUUGUCCAAGCCCACCCCAGUGGGUCGUAUAUUGUAGAAAUAUCUUCACCAAACGAGAAUCUGUCUGUGUUGGAUUCAUCUACGAACAGCAAACGCGUAUAUAGAAGCUCAACAUUUCGGUCGUUAGCUCGAGUAAUGAACUGUUGCUUACUGCUCUCCUCGAUACUUACAUCACACGAUUGUUCGGUGCCCGUCGACAUAGUUAACAAGAUCAUGAAUAUCAGUAAUAUGAUUGCAUGGAAAUAUUGUACUGUAUUUACCAUUGUAUGAAUUUAAUUCCAUAAGGUUAGCACAGCUUUACCAGCGCAGAAGAAUUUUAGUUAGGAACGCCGUUCUCUCUGACGAAAAUUGAAUGCGAGAUAAUGCUUUUUGUCGAGAGAUUUGCAAUAUUUCUUGCGUUAUUGCACUUAUUUAUAUAAAUACUUAUCUUCAAA